This is a long non-coding RNA of Gasterosteus aculeatus aculeatus (three-spined stickleback), 7317 nucleotides long. The record is from Ensembl. NCBI's taxonomy places the organism in Eukaryota, Metazoa, Chordata, Actinopteri, Perciformes, Gasterosteidae.
GCUGCACUGUCUGGCUCAUGCCCCCCCCACACACACCUCCCCACCACUGCAGGGCAGUGAAUAAGUGGCACAGCUCUCGCCUCACCAGCCAAUACCGGUGCAGCAGACGCUCCAUCCAGCCAAUGACUUCCGGGGGGGGGGGGGGGGGGGCAAAGCAUUACUUCUAAUGAAGCAUAUGUGGAGAGAGAGAGAGGCAGACGUGAGGGAAAUGGACGAGGAUUCGCGAUCGCACAGAAAUAUUUUCAGCUUUUUCCGGCUUUAAUGAAGCCGUCGAAAUGAAAAAUGAACAACUCAAAUCUAAUAACUGGAGAAGUUUAGGAGAAAACUUCUCAUGCCGAGCUGAAAGUGGAUUGUGUGUCAGGAGCAUCGAUCGUCUUCUAUGCAGUAAAAGUAUUAAAGGGUUCUACUGAGGUGUUAAAGGGUUCUACUGAGGUGUUAAAGGGUUCUACUGAGGUGUUAAAGGGUUCUACUGAGGUAUUAAAGGGUUUUACUGAGGUAUUAAAGGGUUCUACUGAGGUGUUAAAGGGUUCUACUGAGGUAUUAAAAGGUUCUACUGAGGUAUUAAAGGGUUCUACUGAGGUAUCAAAGGGUUCUAUUGAGGUGUUAAAGGGUUCUACUGCGGUGUUAAAGGGUUCUACUGAGGUAUUAAAAGGUUCUACUGAGGUAUUAAAGGGUUCUACUGAGGUAUCAAAGGGUUUUAUUGAGGUGUUAAAGGGUUCUACUGAGGUAUUAAAGGGUUCUACUGAGGUAUUAUGGUUCCCUGGGUGAAAGUCCUGCGUCGACACGUUUGUCUGCAGCAGCGUCUGUAAAUGGUCUUGAAAAAGAAGAUGAUGAUGAAAAAAGUCAGAAUCAGCGAUGAAAUAAUAAUCAUCUGGCUGUUUAAUUUUAAUGGCGUCUAAUGAAGGUCUGUGUUCGACCUUCACCGCCUUCCUCGCACCUGAGACACUGGCGGUCCUGUGUGUGUGUGUGUGUGUGUGUGUGUGUGUGUGUGUGCUCCUUUGGUUUGAUGCCUAUGGGUUUGUUGCUUGUGUGUGUCUGUGUGCGUCUGUGUGGGAGGGUGCGAAUGUGUGCAAGCAAAUGUCAUCUACCGAGUGUCAAAUGAGGUAAUUAAGAGACUCAGAUUUGUGUGUGUGUGUGUGUGUGUGUGUAAACAUGCAUAUUAGAUUGACAGGAAGAGAGCGAGACAAACAGAAAGAGAAACAGGGAAAACCAUGAAGCAGCUUCCCAACAGUUUAUCUUCAGCACAGACAGGACCUGCUGUAAGGUCACCUGACACACCAGCAGCACGCACUGCCACUCCACACACACACACACACACACACACACACACACACACACACACACACACACACACACACACACACACACACACACACACACUCUAACAACUGUACAGAAUGAUGCAGACGAUAUUCCAGAUAGAUGCAGCUCUUGUAAAUGGAGCACUCAGGUUUUCUGGGGUUUGUGUGUGUGUGUGUGUGCGUGUGUGUGUGUGUGUCCUUCCGUGAACUCUACAAAGGGUCCUUUUGUACAACAGGGCGGUGGCUUUAACGGGUUGUAUGUCCUUGUGUCUCCAGGUGAGAGCUCAGUGUCCACGUUCUUGUCAGAAAGGCAACGAGGAGGCGUGGCCGUCGUGUGCAUCAGCCCCCCCUCGCCGAACAUCAGCACGCGGCCUGCAGAGCUCCAGGUGUCCUCUCAGGUGCCUGUUUUAUUUCUACAUUUUUGUCUCGUCUUGAUGCUUCGGAUCUGAAUUGCCUUCUGAGCAGCGACUGAAGACCCUGUAUUUGUCUUCUCCAGAUUUAUUGUCCAGAAAUCUAGAUGAGACUUUGCUACGUCUGGAAGAGAACCUGGACCUUGUCUUGUUCUUUCCUUUGACUUGAUGAAGUUGCUCCAUUCAAAUACGUGAAAUCUCAACAAUGAGUAUAUCGACUUACUACAGUAACGCCUGGUGUGCUGAUUUACUACAUACUGCGUUUGGCCCCCCGGCAGUGACGCUGGCGUGGACUCUUUGUCUUAAAGGCUGAUGUGCUACCAGUGUGCACACACACCCUAAACACACACACACACACAGCCUGUGUAAUUCCAUCGUCUGUGACGGCCCGUCCCCGCGUCCUGUGUUUGUUUGCGUUGUAUCCGGUUCCCGGCGCCAUACGCUGUCCGCGGCCAUAGGUAUCAGGCUCUGCGUCGGGCCCCCCGGCUGCUCCCGAGGCCCCGCCUCCUCUCGUGCAAAACAAAGAGCACUCCGGGCCGGCGCCCGGGGCUUCAGGGUGAAAAGUCUCAGACGUGUCGUUUUACCGGGAGCGACUCGUCUUUGAAAUCAGAAAUCAGAGAAACGAUCCCUCCGCCGAUGCAUCGCGGCGGCGACUCGACGAUCCAGGGCGGCCAGCGGCGUCACGUUUAACCGCCGUUUAAUUCCCCCAGUCGUGGAAAUGACAAAUGAGGAGUAGACCUGAGAACUGAGUAAAGGGUCAAGCAACAAGCGUCAGUUUAGCGUGGAGCUAAACGAGCUCUUCAAAAUAAAAUGUCUUGAAUGAAACUCAGUUUCCUCAGUCAGGUUCGAGGGCGAUGAUAAGAACAAGAUGUUCAAUAAAGAAUUCAUCAGUGAGAAUUCAUAGUUGGGGAUGAGCUGAUCAGCAAUGCAUGAUGGGAGAGAAGCCAACAUGGCCGCCACACGCUGCAUCACCUGGAAGCCUCUGUGCCGACAUUGGCUUUUGGGUGUACAAACAAACGAAUCAAGCGCCUCCCUCCCUUUUGACUUGUGCUUUGCAUUUUCCGCUUUUUGUUCUUUUUGACCAUCCUCUAUCUGCAGAAAACUUAUUAUAACAACACUAAAAAUUAAAAAAAACAUCUUUGCCAACUCUUAAGCAAUUCUCCCCCGAAAGCCGUCCGGUAAUCAUUUGGAGCUUGUUUGGAAAUAAAAAAAAGGAUAUUCUUCACGCCGCUGUCCUAGAAAUCUUCUUCCAGCCGCCGCUGUGAAUUCCGUUUGAAGCGCCGCUUGACAGCUUCAUCUGUGAAGCGUCUCAAUUAUGGGCGGAAUAUUUUCCGCCAACAUAUCUCGACGCCCAGACUGUCUCACUAGGACAUGAAAGCCGUCGGCUUAAGGAAGUCAUCGCACACCUCGGCGAGAGAGAGCAGCGCGCACACGCACACGCAUGCAGACGCUGAAAAUAGAGGCAGCGAUCCUGCUAAUGCUCCUCGGCCCAGACGCGUGGAUUUGCAUGUCUUUAAUGUGCGGCCCGCUCUCUCGUAGGAUUGGGCUCGCUGUUGCAUGCUGGGAGCGAGAUUUUUGUAUAAGUGAAGCCUGAAGAAGAUAAAACAGCAGGUCAAAAAUAUUUCAGCAAUUGCUGUAAUUGGAGAUUUUCCUUUUGGAAAGGCGAGACGCUUCCACCUCCCGCUCUCACUUUCUCUCUCCCUCCCUCCCUCUCUCUCCCUCCCUCUCUCUCCCGGGUCUUUCAGGCCACUGUAACGGCCUCCAUCUGGUCUGUGAGGUGGGAGGGUUUUUGGGGGGCACCGGCCCUCCCCGCCGCGCUGCGACCCGGGUCGGUCAACAAUGAGAGCGAGCGCCGCUGGCGGCAUCUCAGGCGAUUAAUCACCGACGAAGACGUUCUUAUGAGUGUUAUAUUUCUGAUAAUCGAAAUGCUCUGAAGGAGAACGUAAGCAUGAAAUGAUCGUUUUCAUCUCAAGUCCUUAUGUGUGACACCUGGAGAGAAGCCAAAAAAAUAAUUUGUGGAAACAUUGGAUUGAAUUGGGGGGCUUCAAAACAUGAAAUGAUUGUUUACGGCUCUAAAAGGGUCAUUUGGGUUCAUUUAUUGGGUGAAUAUUUGUAAUAUAAGAGCUUGCCAACCCUCAUGGUGGGUUUUUUUUUAGAAGACAACAGACGUUCUCUCCUUUCCCUUCAAACAUAACCAGAAAAUAAAUGUGACUUUAUGUUUAAUUUGUCACAAAUCCUCCUGGCGUCGAUGCUUGCACCCAGAUCACCGAAGACUAAAGGCUCGUGUUUCCAUCGAGCAGAUGAGGGUUUGUAAUGAUAAUAAUCACGAUAAUAAUAUAUGGUAAUCGCUCAGAGGGGAGCCGAGGAGCCUGAGCUCCGUUUAUUUACGAAAAACGUCUCUCUGCAGUCCAAGCGUCCCAUGAUCCAAACACAGUUUGACUUCCUCAGGAGCCUCUGAACGUAAACCCCCCUCGUUCAAAUAAAGCCAGCUGAUCAGUCGCUCGUCAGCUCAUCUUCACAAAUAGAGCCGCAGGCGUCAUCCGACCCGCUCACAUUCCACGUCUUCAUAGUUUAUUAUAGUUUUUUGGGGAUGGAGGAAAAAAAUUCUCCCCGGCUGUGGUUCCAGUAAUCUGAUCCAGGAUCAAAUAAUAAAUCCAGGAACAAAAACACUCCUGCAAUAUAUAAAGCUCAAAUAACUGAUUGCAUGUUUUAUUUUAAGGGGGGCUUUAUUUAGGGGGGAUCAGGCGAAGUUGUACUCCAUCAUGAUGACAUGGCUUAUUGAAAUGCUUUUACAAAGAGUUUCUAUCAGAGCUCUAAAGGUGCCUUCACACCUGUGUGAGUCAUGGCCAUGAAGGUUGAAACUGUGCUUCAGGACCGCGGACAGCGCCCACCCGCCAUUUGGGCCGAUAACGAUAAAGUUCAUCAUAUUUCCCCCCAAAAAUGAUUAAAGUAUGAACAGAAGGAAAUGGGUUUCUUAUCAACUGGAAAUAUGAAUAUAUAAUCCCCCCCAGUCUACAGGGGAAAGUAACUUUAACCCCACAUCUACAUUUAGAAUGUAGGUGCAGGAACUCAGUAGAGGUUCACCCUCAGUUCUGUCUCAUUCUCUGUUCCACUGUCUGUCUGUCUUUCUGUCCCCGUCCCUCUGUCCCCCUGUCUUUCCCUCUCCGGCCGGUGGAAGAACGCCGGGCUCGGUGCCAGCCAGCCGGGGCGCCAGUUGGGCCGUCCAUCAGUCGCAUUAAAGACAUGUUAUCCAGCCGAGUGUAUCCGCCUGGCUUAGAGCCCUGAUCCCCUGCUUAGAGCCCCCCCACGCUGCCCCUCGACUCACUCUGGGGGGGGGUCACAGAGUCCCCUUCUUGCUUUAUCAGCGCCGCACCCAGGCAUCCAGCUCGCUGCUUUGGGUCUCUUAAAACACGUACGCAAAUAAAUGAGUAGGCCGCUGGAAAUAACUGCCCUCUCAUCUCCGGCCAAGCGGCCUGCCACUCAGGUCUUUGUCUUUAAAGGGACGGGGGGGGGGGGGAGCGCUGACCUCCACUCAGAUCCGCCUCUUCAAGAACACAAAGUCAGCAGGGUUUAUUUAGCCCCCUCGUAGCGCAGCGCAGAUGAAAGGUCUCACGGAGGCUUUAAAAGGGCCGUUUGUUUCACGUUACAUCGACUUUAUGCCCCUUUUCAUCGCGGCGGAAAUCAGUGCUUUUGCUCUUUUGGAUUCUGGGUGAAGACCAGGACUUGUGUUGUGUUCUGUCCUCAUUCUCUCUGCUUCAAUAUAAUGGUCAUUGUCGUCGUUGCCGUCGAGUGGUUUUGAAGUGUCACUUGAAGGGUCAGUUCUGAAGCUGCCCUCUGAAACCUCGGACUCGUGGACAGCGUUUUCUAUCCCAUUAGAGGCUCCAGAGCAGCCUGAUAUACCUGAUUACCAUUUCGUUCCCAUUCACCGUUGGAGAGGUUCAGGUUAUCUUGAGUACAUGUUAGCGUCAUGUGAUAAAAAGAAUAGACUCUUUAGGCCAGGGUUCUCAAACCCCCGGCCCGCCGAGGGGGGGGACCGACUUUGGCGUAGUGUCAGCGCCGGAGGAUUCAUUAAAAGGUAAAAAAAUACCAUCAUGACACCGAAUAAAAACAUACACAGUCUGACUUUGAAGCCCAAAAUGAUGAUCAAUAAAUAAUCAGGUAAACACAGUUUUGUAAAUAAGUUAAACUGGUGCAUUCCCAUCAAACGGUGCCGUGGCGUCUCCUCUACUGCCCACGAGUAUUUACCCAGCAUGCAGUUCGGCGCUGUGGCGCUCCACAGCGGGACAAUCUUUGCAAACAAUAUUACAUUUCUUGACAUUUUAACAGUCAACAGUAUUUAUUAUUAUAAUACGGGUAGAUGAAAUCCAGCGUUGUGAUUGGUUGAGAGUCCCAGGGGCACAUUAUUGAGCGAUAAUGUGCAUUUGCUGUUCACACGUAUCACCGCGCACUCAAAGUAUCAGGUUUUGAUUUUGCGUUAGUUGACUUGUCAUGAGUUUUGUCAUGAGAUACACAAAUGAGAUACACAACGUUUGGUGGCUACGACUAUUUUGUGCUGAAAGGCAGCUUUUUGUUUGAGGACAUAACCUCUUUAAAUGAACGUUUGUCACUGAUUGUGAUUUGUGAUUUGGUUUAAAUCUCAGAUUAUUAGACGUUUUCUAACACUGGCCUUUGUGCUAAUUGACGGACUCCAGUUCUCAUUCUUCAGAAGUAAUCUGCUUUCAAUAGACCUUCACUACCCAAGUCUCUCCAUUCCUACCUCCUCCUCCUCCUCUUCUUCUGUCCUAGCUCCUCAUCCCUUUAAGGCUUACUCCCUACCUCCUUCACCUCCUCCUUCUCUCCUCUCCUACCUCUCCAUCCCUCCUAGGCCUCUUUUACUCCUCCUCCUUCCUGCUGCACCUCAGUUUGCCCUCAACUUAUUCACCUCUUUCGCUCUGUAUUUUAUCUCCAUUCUCCAUUCCAGAAGCCCCCAGCCCCCCCCCUCAGCCCCCCAGCCCCCCCCCCUCAGCCCCCCAUCCAUUUCACUACCUUUUUUUUGCUAUAAGUAAUUCACCCGCCCUGCCUCCACCUGGAGACGCCGCCGAGCCUUCUUCUCAGAUUCCAGGCAUGUUUCUCCUCCGGCCGGGCUUCCUCCGGCUGGCUGACUCACAACGUAGCAGCAUAAAUUACCACGAGUCCUUACACAACCCGUGCACACACACAUACAACCCGUGCACACACACACACAACCCGUGCACACACACAUACAACCCGUGCACACACACAUACAACCCGUGCACACACACAUACAACCCGUGCACACACACAUACAAGCCCCGUGCACACACACACACAACCCGUGCACACACACACAACCUGUGCACACACACACACAACCCGUGCACACACACAUACAAGCCGUGCACACACACACACAACCCGUGCACACACACACACAACCCGUGCACACACACAUACAACCCGUGCACACACACAACCACAACCUGUGCACACACACACACACCCGUGUACACACACAACCACAACCUGUGCACACACACACACAACCCGUGCGCACACACACACAACCCGUGCGCACACACACACAACCCGUGCACACACACACAACC